UGGACGAUCAAGUUUUGUUGAAGCUGCAACCAUAUCAAUUUUGAUCUUUGGCUAUGAGACCUAAUGAAAAACUUAGUCUUUGUUUCUAUGGUCCUUUAGAAAUUGAGGAGAAGAUUGGAUCUAUUGCUUAUAGGUUAAAACUCCCCGCCACAACAAGAAUCUACCCUGUUUUUCACGUAUCACAACUGAAGAAGUGUGUGAGACCCCUGGUCCUGAGUCUACCCCUUUCGAGUUGCUUAAAUGAGGAGGCUGAGUUGGUAGCCAAACUUGAAGAUGUGUUGAAUUUUAGAUACUCGCCACAAAGGGAUUUAGAGUUGCUUAUUAAAUGGCAUGGCUUACUGGAUUAUGAGAACUCGUGGGAAUUGUACAAGAACCUCAUUCAGACUUUUCCCCAUUUACACCUUGAGGACAAGGUGCCUCUGGAUGGGAGGGGUAAUGUUAGAGCUCGUGUUUAUGUAAAGAAGAUAGUCAAGAGAAACGUUAAUGCAAUUAAGGUAAGAAGAUGAUAACCAAUGAUGUCAACAUAGGUGGAGUUGAGAAGUUGAUAUAUGACACCAAUAAUGUUAAUACAGGUGGACAUGUUGAGAAAUCAAUAGAUGACAACAUUGCAGAGACAACAGAAGUUGCAAACCAUCGGCAAAAAAUUAGGAGUAUGCAGAAAAAAGAGGGAACCAUAGAUGCAUUGUAUGCUGAGUUGGCGUAUCAAGAUUGGAAGGGCAAUAGUGAGGAGCAAAGGGAGAAAAAAAGGCCUGGAGAGCAUAGAGGAGGAGAGAAAAUCAUUUGAAGAAGAAAGGGUCUGAGGAGAGAAUCAACCUCUUGAAAGCUAGAAGAUGCGUCUGAGUUUUGUGUUAUGGAUUUAAUUCAUCUUUUGUUAUUGUUUUGUUUUGUUUUUGUGUCAUGAACAUCUCCGUAAGGGAUUUCAGUUAGUAGUUAUAUUCCAAGUUACAUGUUCUUUGUUAUGAAUAUUAGAGAAACAACGUUUAAAUGCAAAUUGUUUGUUUUUGCUUUUAUAAUAUAAUUUAUACAAAGAGUUUGUUGUUUCAUUGUCGGUUCAAUAUACAUUAAUAAACUGCUAGCAACACAAAUAUUUGUGAUUUACCAACUCUUUUGGUUUUUGGUUGACGAGGCCAGGUAACUUGGCUGAACCAGCUCCUGCAUCCUCCAGGUACCUAACAUAUACCAAUUUCGUAUUAACCAUGGGUAAGCUCUACUUAUUGUAGUCAUAUUCUCUGGACUGUAACAUGUAUGAGCGAAACUGAUACCUAUUGAAAUCCAUCUUAGCAGCGACACUAUGUAUUGAAAUGCUUUGAGAUACAUGAGGAUACAAGUCAAGUAUGAAACACUUGAGUGUGCAUAAUGGAUGGAUUUGUAUGGUACUUGUAACAAUUUUUUACUUCUGAUUAUAAGGAGAAAUUAUCCUAAUAGGAAACUUAUAGUUUUUCUUUUUUUUCAUUUUUUAUGAUUGUGAAUUAUGUGGAGAUUUUAAGAUAACUUUAAUUAGUAUAUAAUCAAUGUCAAUGCUCAUAUUUUGAGAAUCAAA
Long non-coding RNA from Mangifera indica (mango), 1540 nucleotides. RefSeq lists it as uncharacterized. The record is from RefSeq and is a predicted model, not a curated record. NCBI's taxonomy places the organism in Eukaryota, Viridiplantae, Streptophyta, Magnoliopsida, Sapindales, Anacardiaceae. The transcript has 2 exons.